This 448-nucleotide ribosomal RNA is filed under the name uncultured bacterium. RNAcentral's name for it is "bacterial SSU rRNA". It matches the Rfam family "Bacterial small subunit ribosomal RNA", at positions 328 to 792 of the family's 1533-position model. The record is from RNAcentral.
UCGCCAGACUCCUACGGGAGGCAGCAGUGGGGAAUAUUGCACAAUGGGGGGAACCCUGAUGCAGCGACGCCGCGUGGGUGAAGGAGUAUUUCGGUAUGUAAAGCCCUAUCGGCAGGGAAGAAGCAAGACGGUACCUGACUAAGAAGCCCCGGCUAACUACGUGCCAGCAGCCGCGGUAAUACGUAGGGGGCGAGCGUUAUCCGGAUUCACUGGGUGUAAAGGGAGCGUAGACGGCCAUGCAAGCCAGGGGGGAAAGCCCGGGGCCCAACCCCGGGACUGCCCUUGGAACUGCAUGGCUGGAGUGCGGGAGGGGCAGGCGGAAUUCCUGGUGUAGCGGUGAAAUGCGUAGAUAUCAGGAGGAACACCGGCGGCGAAGGCGGCCUGCUGGACCGCGACUGACGUUGAGGCUCGAAAGCGUGGGGAGCGCACAGGAUUAGAUACCCGAGUA